This is an RNA transcript of Bactrocera dorsalis (oriental fruit fly), 4214 nucleotides long. RefSeq lists it as hypothetical. Lineage: Eukaryota; Metazoa; Arthropoda; Insecta; Diptera; Tephritidae. The transcript has 5 exons. The record is from RefSeq and is a predicted model, not a curated record.
GUGCACAGUUUCGCAUGGUUUGCAGCAUUGCUGGCGUUUCUAUAAUUUUUGUGUGCGUUUUUGGCAGAAAUUUCGAAAAACUUGCGCAAAUUUGGCUUUGCCGUUUGACAUUUUCGUUGUCAUAAGCCAAAACGAUUCAAUCGAUAUCGCUAUGGUUGGCGGGCCCCCAUACCAACCCACACACACGCACACACACACAAAGGCACAUACCUGCUUCGCAGUGCAUUAACACACAUACGCACAGGCACUGGGCACCAUUCCACACUAAUUGGACGCAGUUACAUAAGAUUCGUGCUGUGAAUUUGCAAGUGCCGCUGCGGCAAGUAACGGGAUUAGCGUUAGACUUGAAAGAAAAAAUGGUUAAAAACAUUUUAAGAGGACUUUUUGAACAAUUUCAUUUAAUUUUUUCGUUUUUCAAAAAGCAUUUAAGCAUUUAAAGAAAAAAGUGGGUGUUUGCAAGCGUCAUAUGGGUGACAGUGUUGAAGGGGUUGCGCUUAUUCGUCGUUGCCGCUUCGUUUUCGCCAGCUGCAUUGUGGUGUCUUAGCUUGCGAACGUUCGUGUGCAUGCGAAACCGUUAGUCAGCGUCCAGUAUGAGAGUCGUUUGUCGGUUUUUCGGUUUUCGGCGCAACACAAUCUAUGUAUUUGAGGCUUAACUAGUUCAGUGCGAGAUGUCGGCAUAACAGAACGUCAAAGAAUAAUCAAUCAGCCAGUCAGUGAGUCAGUCAGUCAGUGAGCCAGCAAGACCGCGUUGAAAAGUCCGUGUGUGACAGUGAGUUGGUGUGUUAGUUGCCGCCGAAAAGCCAAGCCAGUUAAGCAGCAGAGUAGCCUGCGUGGCCGAGUCCAAUUAUUGUACCUGUGUAUGAGACGUGCCCCGAUUUGUGAUUUUAUUUCGAAGUGACAAAGUUUUGCUUCACAUCCGUUAACUGCGUGUUUUAAGUGAACAGUAUAAGAAACAAAAACAAAUAAAAGUAAUCAGCAAGCAAAAUAACAUAGCAAAAAGCAAUACGGUAAUAAUUAAAAAAAUAAUAUAAUUGAAACUAACCGAAAGUAUCAAAUAUUAACCAAAAGAAUUAAACUAAAAGUUCUUUUAGCGAACUACAUUCGAAACAAAAAUCGUAGCGAACAACAACAAUAGUUCUGUUUUUAAUCCUCACCAACAGUUUUUUGUUAAUCUCGUUGUUGUUGUGAAUAAAUCGAUAAUUGUAUAAUAUCAAAAACACAAAAAGCAAAAAAAAGAAACAAGAAAAAUGUCACCACUAAUGGAACGAACACUGCUGCUCUUGGGCAUCCUUUGCUGUUUACAAGCAACCACUGCGCUGAUGUGUUACGACUGUAAUAGCGCCUACGAUCCCAAUUGCGGUGAUCCAUUCGAACCCUAUACCUUGGGUAAGGUGAACUGCACCCAACAGGAGGUUAAGGAACAUCUUAAAGACAAAUACACCAAACCUUUGCUCUGCCGUAAGACAACACAAAAGGUUUAUGGCAAGGUGCGCGUGGUGCGCGGUUGCGGCUACAUACCCGAUAAGAGCGAUGAUGGCCUGUGCAUGAAACGCUCCGGCACACAUGACGUGCAGGCAAUUUAUUGUGCGUGCACAUCUGAGCUGUGCAAUCAUGCCGCCUCCACAUUGUAUCAAAACAACAAUCAUCCCAUACUAUCGGCAUUACCCUAUACAUUAGCAGCGUUCUUUGUUUGGUUUGCCACAUUUUCGAGUCAUUUCAAUAUCAAUGCUUUUGGUGCUGUGCAAAAUUCAUAAAUAGUACGAGAUAUACAAAAGCCUACACGCAUAUAUAGUAGAAAUAAAUAAGCAUACAUACAUACAAGCAUACAUGCAUACAUACAUAUGUACAUAUGAUAGAUGUGUAUAUGUGUAUUAAGGAAAUGAAGUCGCGAAGUUUUCAUUUAACCACCUUAAGUUUGAAAAGUCAUAAUAGAGUCAUAUACACACCAGAACAUACACACACACUUAGACACACAUGCAUUGCAUAAUUCAAGCGAAAUAGAGCAAACAAAAUGCAAGUAAAAGCAGAAGUUGAUUAGGCAUAAAGAAAGAAAAGGAAAGCGAAACCAACAUUUAACGGUUAAAAAUAGCAUGGAACAAAAGCUGAUGGGUGUUAAAGCAGUUUAAAGGAGAGCGACGCAGCCUAGCUGAAGUAGCAUGUGUUGUAUAAGCAGACAAAUGAAAUCAGCACACUUGAGAUUACAUAACCACAUUCAAGCUAAAAUAAAGAAAUAAAUUAAAUUAAUAGAAAUUAAUACGAAAAACAGCGAUUUGUUCAACUAAAACCGAAAGCAAGCAUCUUUACUGUAUAUGUUGCCCCUAAAAGUAUGCUAAUAAAUAUAUUUUUCGUUCGACGACAAUGCAAUUGACAAAGCCGGAAAAUAUUGCUGUUGAAAGCAGGUUAUGUUACAAUUAAGGCGAACCACGCGAUUAAAUGUGCGCGCCAGCGCUGCUGCGUAUGUAUGUGGCUGUUAUUAAACAAUACGCAUACAUAUAUAUGUAUAUACAUAAUUAACUUACUUACUUAUACAAAUAUGACAUUUAAGUUAUUAGGAAAAUAACAAAAACAAAACCAUUAGAAAAAAAUCAAAUACAAGGAAAACAAAAACAACUGCCGUCACAUGUCUUGCGAAGAAGUAUUCGAAAUUUUUAAUAAUAGUUUCACAGUGUAUAUAUGUAUGUAUGUAUACUAUAGUGCUAAAUGUAACCAACACAUGCUGACACUAACGACGUACGUCACAAAUAUCUAGCUGCGUAUGAAAGUGUUAAGUGUUAUGUAGUAGUUGCUUUGUAAGAAAAAAAUUAAAUUAGAAAAAUUAUUAAUUUUUUUUAAAUACUUCACAUGAAAUUGUGUUUGCAGCGUUAUUGAAGCAGGCUAUGGUGCUUAAGGAGUUAUAUCCACUUGCAAGUAAGAAAAAAAAGAGAUUUCGUGCAAUUUGUUUAGAGAGGCAUUUAAUUAAAUAAAUUAAUUAAAAUAUUGUGCAUUAACGAAAUUUAAUGUACUUUAAUAAGCGGUUAUCAAUUUUGAAAACAAUUUUUUUCUCUCAAACCUGUCGCUGAUCUCCAAGAGAACCUCCGAAAAAGGUGUCUGAUGAUGCGCAAGAUUUUUCUGCUUAAAAAUAUUUAAAAUUCAAUAAUAAAAGAAAAAUUAUUAUUACAAUAGUUGAAUGCAGUUAAUGAUGACAAGAAUGGUGAAAAUUUUGAUUUUUGAAAAAUUGGUGGCUUCCUUAGAAAUAUAUUUUUUGUUAAAAAUCACUUUGAAGUGUCUAAAAAUCGAGAUUAUCAUCAAAAAUCUUAUUACUUCAAUUAUUAAAUAAUAAAAUAUAUAAAUAAAAUAUCUUGGCAGGUUAUGUGAUCUACCACAAGUCGAUCGAUUUAGCCGUUUCGGAGAGAUUUUCCUCACCAACUCUGAAAACAGCGUUUCCCGAAUCGUUUUAGCUGCCAAUUCUCAUGAAUACGCUCAUAUCUCCGAAACUAUUCUCCAAAUCAACUACAAAUUUUCGAAAAAUAUUCUCAAAUAUCUAUGCAUUCGACACUUAUGCAAGCAAAGACUCGAUUUUUCAAAAAUUCACAAGUGGAUAUAACCAUUGUCGUAAAAUGCAAGAAAAGUGUACGCAAAUUUCUUAAAUACUUUAUAAAUAGUGUGUGUUAUAACGUACAGUAUUUUCUAUACAACGCCACCACGUUGGAAACACUAAGCUGCCAACCACUGUUGUAUAGUCUUAACAUAACAUUGAAAUGUUACUUUAACAGUUGCAAGCAAAUAAGAAAUACUUAAAAAAACUGCAUAUAAAAUAUAACUGAACAAAAAAGCAUUUUGCGUGUUAGUAGCUAACUCGCAAAGCAACACUAGUCUCAUUCAUAAGCUACAUAACCUAAAAUUUGUUUUAACAGUGAAAUAAUUAUUGCUUCUAAACCUGAUUUUGCUGCAUUAUUGCCAUAAUUAUAAUAACAUAGUUCAUAUUUGUCUUAGUUUUUAGCUAUAACUUCCAUUAUUUGCAUACUGUAUAACAGUUAAAUACUGUUAUAUUUUGACAGAAUCACACAAAGUCGGCGCUUACACAUACAGCUGUAUGUAUGUCACAAUUAAAAGGCAGUUCUUACGAUAAGGCAACAUAAUAAGAACAGUUAAUCGUAAAAAAUUUGUAAAUUUAGCAAAUAUAAUAAAUAAAUCACUUCAAAAAAAUAUAGGGACUUAAUGAUUUAAAGCAGCUA